AAUCUGACCUCAAAUCAGGUAGGGCUACCCGCUGAACUUAAGCAUAUCAAUAAGCGGAGGAAAGGAAACUAACAAGGAUUCCCUCAGUAACGGCGAGUGAACCGGGAAGAGCUCAAAUUUGUAAUCUGGCGUGCUCUGUGCGUCCGAGUUGUAAUCUAUAGAAGUGUUUUCCGUGCCGGAUCGUGUCCAAGUUCCUUGGAAUAGGAUAUCAUAGAGGGUGACAAUCCCGUCCUUGACACGACUACCGGUGCUCUGUGAUACACUUUCUACGAGUCGAGUUGUUUGGGAAUGCAGCUCAAAAUGGGUGGUGAGUUCCAUCUAAAGCUAAAUAUUGGCGAGAGACCGAUAGCGAACAAGUACCGUGAGGGAAAGAUGAAAAGCACUUGAAAGAGAGUAAACAGUA
Molecule: ribosomal RNA, 403 nt
Filed under: Tremella lobariacearum
Lineage: Eukaryota; Fungi; Basidiomycota; Tremellomycetes; Tremellales; Tremellaceae
Description: eukaryotic LSU rRNA
Rfam family: Eukaryotic large subunit ribosomal RNA
Source: RNAcentral